UUUUUUUUUUUUGAAAAGUAACCUUGCAUGGAUCUUCAAAGUCCAAACCUAGCAGGUUAGAUUGGACCAUUGCUUCUUGAUUCAGGCGAGUUCGAGGCUAGUAGCUCAGAAUCUCAGAUCCUGAAAAGCACCGCUAACCACACCCCCUUUCAGAUUCAUCAUCAGUCACUUCCAACCAGCGUCCAGGAGUGGCACUGUGGCACUGAGAAAGCCCUCCCAAACCCGUCAAAGUUCGCGGCACAUCUCUCCCACGUUCUCCUCCUCGGCCCCCAAAACCCCCCAUCCCCGCGCGCGCGUGGCGCGCAGCUCGCCCCCGCACGCCAAGAAUCUCGGGUGCCGGCACCGCCGCCGUCACCCCGCCGAGGCUCCCAAGCUUUCUUCAUUUCCUGUCCGCGCCCCGGCACCCCGCGCAAGCCUCCAAAUCCGCGAGCGCCAUGCGGGCCGCAGACCCGGCCGAAACCCGCCACCGUUCCUGCCUUCUUUUCCACACUCCCCUCGUCACGCGCUCUGCUGUCGCUGUCCGUCGGCGUCCGGGAUGACAACAAAACAACGAACAGAUCCAGGGAAUCGUAUACACUAAAAAAAAAUGGAGUAAUGCUAUCAUGGAGCAUCAGCAGAUUCCGGCCACGCUCGCGGGCGAUCGCGCUUUGACCCGUAAACGGCGCGAGGCGUCCAAAUCAGCCUGCCGGAGAAGAAUAAUGGUUAAUGAGCCUGUGACGCUCGAGGUAGCUUAACCACCGGAUGAUCCGUCGGCCGGCUCGGCCUACACGACACCGCCGAGGUCGCUCUCGCCGUGCCCAAAUCGCACCCGGAUGACGAACCGGCCGUUGCGGGCGUUUGGUUUGGUAUACUUUCUUAAACAGUGUGAGGCAGGCAGGCAGGCAGAGGCAGCAGCAAUGGCGGCGAACGAUGGCACCACCUCCUCCCCACCUGAACAUUCCUCCACUCGCCCAACCUCGUACCCGGCCGAACCGAGGCCCGGAGCGCCGGAGCGGUUGGCUCUUGCUGGGGCCUGCCGAGGAGGGGAGGGGAGGUGAACGGUGAACCGCUCGUCCAACCGGCACCCACCAGGCCACCACCACCACUCCGCCGCGGGUACGAGUACGAGGCGAGACGCCGAGGAGGGAACACGGGACCGAGCCAAAACGGGGGCUGCACCGCCGGGUUCGGCUUCCGCUCCAACCUAUCGACAAGUGCCGGCGACCAACCCGUUUUUUGCCCUUUCCAUCUUGUGUGCCCCGUUGGCCAUUGCCCACUGGGGACGGGAAAAAGAAAGGCCGUUCCGUUUAUCGUUGGGUCGGCAUCAACGAACGAACCGACGGCGAGGUUAGCGCUCAUCCGGUUCACCCCCAUCAUCAUACCAAAAAGCUCUCAGAGUGCGCUCGUGUCUGGCUAGCUGCUUCUGCGUGUUGCGUGUAGGACUGGCUGCCUGGCUUUUUUAUCGCGCAGGUGACGACGGCCCGGCGGCGGAUAGAGUAGAGAAGGUAUUCCAAAGUUGACAUACGUGUACGUGUCGUGCGUAUCUCUCCAUCGGUCGGGGUCAUGAACGUAUGAAACCACCCUCAUCUUAUCUCGAUCUCAUCGAUCUCAUGAAUUAAGGUGUUUGGAUCUUGAGCUAAAGCUAAAGUUUAGUAAUUGUCACAUCAAAUCUUCGGAUGCUAAUUAGGAGGACUAAACUAUAAAACUAAUUACACAUAUAGAGACUAAUUCGCGAGACGAAUCUAUUAAGCCUAAUUAAUUCAUAAUUAGCACAUAUUUACUCUAGCAUCACAUUGUCAUGGACUAAUUAGGUUUAAUAGAUUCAUCUCGCGAAUUAACCUUCAUCUGUGCAAUUAGUUUUAUAAUCGGUCUAUAUCUAAUAUAAUAUCUAAACGAUAUCUAAACGUUCAAUGUGACAUCUAAACGAUAUCUAAACAUUCGAUGUGACAGGAGGUUUAGUCCGUAGAACCGGCGCCUAACUUUAUUUUCUCAUAUCUCGUAGUGACUUCACGCGCUCCAAUCAGGGCUUGACAUGUUCAACGUCUGACACCUCAAACUGGAGAAAAACUGGAGCUCUGAAAUGUUGACUGUUUUGUUUUUUUAAAAAAAGGCAUGUUGACGGGCAGGCGCUCCUCCAUGGAGGGAGAGCUGAGCUCGAAGUCGCAGUAAAUGGACUCAUGCAGUGGAAAUGCUGAGUGGGGAGCAGUAAUAAAAUUUAAAACGCCACGCGCAGGGCAUCUCGAGUUCUCGACCUCGGCUGGACUCUCCUUGAGAUCUUCAAACAGUGCGUGCUUGCUAGCUGGACUGCAGCAGGGGGAGUAAUUGCGGUGGUACUAAUCCCGGGUCAAAAACCAAUCUUAACCGGCCACGGUAGGGAGAGUGGCAGCUCACUUCCACUGAUUGGUUAGUUUGGUUGGUUCAUGAAAGGACCAAGAACUUGCUUGAUCUUGAUCUUGAUCCAGCAUGGUUUCUGGAUUUGGGAAAGUAGAGAAAAAUGUGCAGCAAGGGAAGGGAAUGCUGAUCUUUAAGAGCAAGUCGCAAUUUUGCAGCAGAUGACACUUUAAUUGAAGUCGGACAUGUUCUAAUCUUUUCACAAUAGCAGCAGCACAAGAACGGGGGAAGAGUUGAUGGAGAGAUGGAGAUCUAUCUAUGUCUGGAUCCUAUUUCCGUUGCGGGCGCACCGGAUUGGCCGAUCCGCGGCGAGCGCAUUUCGCCGGACGAGGUGUCGGCACCGCCCGCCCGGCCGCCGGCCGA
RNAcentral lists this long non-coding RNA (2733 nucleotides) under Setaria viridis. Its description in RNAcentral is "long non-coding RNA (SVIR_LNC007488)". Lineage: Eukaryota; Viridiplantae; Streptophyta; Magnoliopsida; Poales; Poaceae. The record is from RNAcentral.